This is a long non-coding RNA of Nilaparvata lugens (brown planthopper), 1471 nucleotides long. RefSeq lists it as uncharacterized. The transcript has 2 exons. NCBI's taxonomy places the organism in Eukaryota, Metazoa, Arthropoda, Insecta, Hemiptera, Delphacidae. The record is from RefSeq and is a predicted model, not a curated record.
UUACCGAUUCGAACGUUUUUAUCUCCUAUCACUAGAAAUCCCUCAUCUGAGUUUUGCAGCAAUACAUUGUUCAUCUCUUGAAAAUCUCUUUCCCAGUUAUUACAGUUGAUAUACAGGCAAUACAUUUAGGAAAACAGAAUUAUCUAAUUUUAUAACAAUCGCUUUCAUAUAUUAUCAAUAUUUUUAAAAUUCAACUUAUCUCUGAAAUCUGAGGUUUUAUUAAUACCUAGUAACAUACCCCCACUAGCACGACCAAACUGAGAGCUUUUUUGCGCAUAACACCAGAUCGGUGGGGAAGGGUUGUAGGUAACCAGGUCACUUGCCGCCCCUUCAGGGAAGGUGUUUUUCAAAAAAAUGUGAAACUAGGUAUGAAGGUAUGAAGAAACUCGUCAAAAAUAUGAUACAGUACCAAGUUCUGAAAAGCUAAAAUAUCAUUGAAUAAUCAUUUUUUAAGAAAAAUAAAAUGAAAACUUGAAAAUCAGUUUAAUGUCCAGGUCAGAAGGUUGGAUAUUAUUCAAUUCUGAUUAUGAUCUAACAUAAAAUUGGUGAAAUUCUUAUAACUAUGUUAGUUUUGAAUAGAUUGAUUUGAAACUCCAUGGGUGUGUUAAUUGUAUGAAGGGAAACGUUCAUGAUUUUUUGUAGAAUUUCCCUACGUUCCCUUCUCCGUCCCAAACCAAAAAAACAUGGUAGUUCUGAUGCUACAUGCGAGAAAAUUCAAAAGUCGCGCUAUUCUGAGCUUCCUCUUUGCUUCGCGGCAAGGAACAGGAUUGGAUUAAAUCGCCCGCGGAACAACACUAUUGGUCUACUCAGAAGCGCGACUUUUGAAUCCUCUCUCAUAUACCAUCAGAACUACCAUAAUAUGUUUUCGGUUUAGGAGUGAGGAUGGGACGUAGGAAAAUUCUACAAAAAAUCAUGAACGAUUCCCUUCAUACUAUUAACACACCCAUGAAGUUUCAAAUCAAUCUUUCAAAACUAACAAAGUCAUAAGAACUUCUCCAAUUUGUUGUUAGUUUAUAAUCAAAAUUGAAUAAUAACCAACUUUCCGACCUGGACAUUUAACUAAUUUUUGAGUUCUCAUUUCAUUUAUGUUAAAAAAAAGAUUAUUAAAUUAUAUUUUAGCUUUUCUGAGCUUGUGAUCAUAUUUCAUAUUUUUGACGAGUUUCUUCAUACCUAUUAACACAAUCAGGUAUCUGAUAUGAUACAUGAAAGAUUAUUAUAUCUUAUAUGAUAUAAUCUUAUAUGAUACAGUUCUUGAGUAAUUAUCAUUCAUUCUGUAUACUCUUGUAUAUUUUUGUCAUUGAGUAUACACCUAACUGGAUGAAUACUUCUUGUACAAAUCAAUUCGUAUUCCGUAUAAUUCAAUAAUAUUCUAGUAAUUUGAAUUAGAAUAAAAUAUUAUAUGAGGAACUGUCAUAAGGCUGUUGGAGAAUGUUUAUUAUAGAAUGUAGUAACAGUUUGUAGUAUUCAACGU